AAAACGCUGUCGAGUUUGCUUCGCAAACUUCUUAUUGUAUGCCGUUUCUCAUUGUAUUACGAAACGGCGGAAAUUCAUCAAUGCUCGAUUUUUGAUAAAAUCUGCGCUUGAUGAAUUUAAAC
This is a regulatory RNA element of Treponema pedis str. T A4, 122 nucleotides long. It matches the Rfam family "TD-1 RNA". Rfam says of the family: non coding RNA found in Treponema denticola The record is from Rfam. NCBI's taxonomy places the organism in Bacteria, Pseudomonadati, Spirochaetota, Spirochaetia, Treponematales, Treponemataceae.